This 814-nucleotide ribosomal RNA is filed under the name uncultured bacterium. Its description in RNAcentral is "bacterial SSU rRNA". It matches the Rfam family "Bacterial small subunit ribosomal RNA", at positions 8 to 796 of the family's 1533-position model. The record is from RNAcentral.
AGAGUUUGAUCCUGGCUCAGAACGAACGCUGGCGGCGUGCUUAACACAUGCAAGUCGAGCGAGAAAGGGGGGGCAACCCCCUGAGUAGAGCGGCGCACGGGUGAGUAACGCGUGGGUAACCUACCCUCAGGCGGGGGAUAACUACUCGAAAGGGUGGCUAAUACCGCAUGAGACCACGGGAUCUUCGGAUUCUGGGGCUAAAGAUUGCACCGGCUUGCCGGUGCCGUCACCAGGGGAUGGGCCCGCGUCCGAUUAGCUAGUUGGCGAGGUAAUGGCUCACCAAGGCUACGAUCGGUAGCUGGUCUGAGAGGAUGAUCAGCCACACUGGAACUGAAACACGGUCCAGACUCCUACGGGAGGCAGCAGUGAGGAAUAUUGCGCAAUGGGGGAAACCCUGACGCAGCAACGCCGCGUGGGUGAAGAAGGCCUUCGGGUCGUAAAGCCCUUUCGGACGGGACGAACGCUCUGCGGUGAAAGCCGCGGAGUCUGACGGUACCGUAGGAAGAAGCACCGGCUAACUCCGUGCCAGCAGCCGCGGUAAUACGGAGGGUGCGAGCGUUGUUCGGAAUUACUGGGCGUAAAGCGCGUGUAGGCGGCCUUGCAAGUCAGGCGUGAAAGCCCUCGGCUUAACCGGGGAAGUGCGUCUGAAGCUGCUUGGCUUGAGUACGGGAGAGGGAGGCGGAAUUCCCAGUGUAGAGGUGAAAUUCGUAGAUAUUGGGAGGAACACCGGUGGCGAAAGCGGCCUCCUGGACCGAUACUGACGCUGAGACGCGAAAGCGUGGGGAGCAAACAGGAUUAGAUACCCUGGUAGUCC